AGCUUUGCACCAUGGAGUAUUGUAGCCAAUGAGGUUUAUCUGAGGUGUGAUUAUUACUAAUUGAAAACUUUUCCCAAUACUCCACCAUGACGACUUGUAACAUAGUCAGUAUUGGCAAUUUUUGACAGUUUCUAGGGAGA
This 140-nucleotide small nuclear RNA is filed under the name Pongo abelii (Sumatran orangutan). RNAcentral describes it as "U4 spliceosomal RNA (ENSPPYG00000039384.1)". It matches the Rfam family "U4 spliceosomal RNA". Rfam says of the family: U4 small nuclear RNA (U4 snRNA) is a component of the major U2-dependent spliceosome. The structure of U4 snRNA from yeast and human has been reported. The record is from Rfam by way of RNAcentral. Lineage: Eukaryota; Metazoa; Chordata; Mammalia; Primates; Hominidae.